AAAAAGUUUUAUUUUGGUUUAAAAAUUUGUUAUUAAUUUAUUUUAUAUGUAAAUUUUUGUGUAUUUAAUUAUUAUUUUAAAAAUAAUAAAUAAUAAUUUAAUUGCAGUAAAUAAAUUUAUUUUUUAAAGAAAUUUAGAAAUAGUAAUAUUAUUAAAUAUUGACAAAAUUUGUGCCAGCAGUCGCGGUUAUACAAAUAAUAUAAAUAAAUUUUAUUAGUUUUAGUUAAAUUUUAAAUUAAAAUAACUAAUAAAAUUUAUUAGGUGAAAUUUAUAAAUUUUUAAAUUUAUUUUUUGGGAAUAAUUUAAUCUAAUAAAUUUUUAAGAUAAACUAGGAUUAGAUACCCUAUUAUUUAAAAUGUAAAUAAAAAAACUAAAGUAGUAUUAGUUAUGUUCUUGAAAUUUAAAAAAUUUGGCGGUAUUUUAGUCUUUUCAGAGGAAUUUGUUUUAUAAUCGAUAAUCCGCGAUGGACCUUACUUAAAUUUGUUAAUCAGUUUAUAUACCGUCGUUAUUAGAAUAUUUUAUAAGAAAAAUAAUAUUCAAUUAAUUUAAUAAAAUUUUAUAUCAGAUCAAGGUGUAGCUUAUAUUUAAGAAAAAAUGAAUUACAAUAAAAUUAUUUAAAUGAAUAUAAAUAUGAAAAAUUUAUUGAAAGUGGAUUUGAUAGUAAAUUUAUAAAGAUUAAUAAAUUGAUUUUAGCUCUAAAAUAUGUACACAUCGCCCGUCGCUCUUGUUAUUAAAAUAAGAUAAGUCGUAACAUAGUAGAUGUACUGGAAAGUGUAUCUAGAAUGA
This 786-nucleotide non-coding RNA is filed under the name Nothybus sumatranus. Lineage: Eukaryota; Metazoa; Arthropoda; Insecta; Diptera; Nothybidae. The record is from RNAcentral.